RNAcentral lists this ribosomal RNA (253 nucleotides) under uncultured bacterium. Its description in RNAcentral is "partial 16S ribosomal RNA". It matches the Rfam family "Bacterial small subunit ribosomal RNA", at positions 524 to 776 of the family's 1533-position model. The record is from RNAcentral.
UACGUAGGGGGCAAGCGUUGUCCGGAAUCAUUGGGCGUAAAGAGCGUGUAGGCGGUUCAGUAAGUCUGCUGUGAAAGUCCAGGGCUCAACCCUGGGAUGCCGGUGGAUACUGCUGGGCUAGAGUACGGAAGAGGCGAGUGGAAUUCCCGGUGUAGCGGUGAAAUGCGCAGAUAUCGGGAGGAACACCUAUUGCGAAGGCAGCUCGCGGGGACGUUACUGACGCUGAGACGCGAAAGCGUGGGGAGCAAACAGG